CAGUAGCCACGGUAAUACGAAGGGGGCUAGCGUUGUUCGGAUUUACUGGGCGUAAAGGGUGCGUAGGCGGAUUGUUAAGUCAGGGGUGAAAUCCCGAGGCUCAACCUCGGAACUGCCUUUGAUACUGGCGAUCUUGAGUCCGGGAGAGGUGAGUGGAACUGCGAGUGUAGAGGUGAAAUUCGUAGAUAUUCGCAAGAACACCGGUGGCGAAGGCGGCUCACUGGCCCGGAACUGACGCUGAGGCACGAAAGCGUGGGGAGCAAACAGGAUUAGAUACCCCGGUAGUCCCUGUCUCUUAUAC
Molecule: ribosomal RNA, 301 nt
Filed under: uncultured bacterium
Lineage: Bacteria
Description: partial 16S ribosomal RNA
Rfam family: Bacterial small subunit ribosomal RNA
Source: RNAcentral